GAACACAGCUCGUUUUGUGUGCAGACAUGAUUUGGGGAUAUGUGGUAAAUGUGGAGAUGAGACAUGCAGCGGGAGAAACUGCGGAAAAGAACCCAAGUGUAAUCAGUGGGGGGGGGGGGGGGAGUCAUGAGACAUGGCAAGCAGACUGUCCAAGGAGAAAGAAAGAGAUGGAAGUCAUGAGGAUCAGGUCCAAGAGAAGGCUAUGCCACAAGGAAGCAGCUAGGAAUGAAAAGAUUCAAGAAGGUGUCUUCCCGCCUGCCGCCCAAUGGCUGCUGGGAUCGGCUCCAGCAUCCCCGCCACCCUGAGAGGAGGAUAAGCGGUUCGGAUAAUGGAUGGAUGGAUGGAUAGCAUGCAGUAAUGAAACCGCCUUUAAAAACCAAAAAAGAAGAGGUGUCCAAAUGAGUUGUUGGCAAAAUGGCAGAACACAGAGACAACAGCAUGGUGAACUGGAAUGCAUUUUCAGAGGCGUAUAGAAAGACCUGCAGAACUCCGUAUCUAAUCUCCUGUUGCAUUCAGUGCAAUUCUCUUUACAAAGACUGAAGGCUACAGGGGAUGUGGGCUGAGAGGAAAACUGCAAGGAUUCUGCUCUG
This is a long non-coding RNA of Lampris incognitus (smalleye Pacific opah), 590 nucleotides long. RefSeq lists it as uncharacterized. Lineage: Eukaryota; Metazoa; Chordata; Actinopteri; Lampriformes; Lampridae. The record is from RefSeq and is a predicted model, not a curated record. The transcript is spliced from 3 exons.